This 12334-nucleotide long non-coding RNA is filed under the name Xyrichtys novacula (pearly razorfish). Lineage: Eukaryota; Metazoa; Chordata; Actinopteri; Labriformes; Labridae. The record is from RNAcentral.
UGGACUGGUCAGCACAAUCCCCGGACCUUAAUCCCAUAGAAAACUUGUGGGCUGACAUAAAAAAUGCUGUUUAUGAGGCAAAACCAAGAAAUGCAGAGGAAUUGUGGAACAUAGUACAAUUGUCCUGGGCUGCAAGACCGGUGCCAGAAGUUGGUCGACUCCAUGUGCCACAGAUGUGAGGAGUAAUUAGAAACUGUAGUAAUGCAACUAAAUAUUAGUUUAGGAUUCUCAGGAAACUUGAGUCUUCAAGCAUUUUUUAGUUUAUACAGUACAUUUUUGAGUUUGUAAUGAAAUAUGUCAACACUGCUAUUUUUUUUAACAUUACAUUUGUUGUCUUUCUGUAAAAUGUUAUCAAAUUUAAUUACUUUUUCCAAUUUUCUUGCCUUGAAAUAGAAUGUGCAGUGUCCCCAAUGCAUUUGUGUUAAUUAAAAUACAUUUUAUUUGAAGAAUUUUGAGGUUAACUCACCUUUUUAAACACACUGGUAUUAUUAUGAACAUAACUGUAUCUUUCAAUGUGUAAACACACACUGAGUGGUGUGCCUGUUAACAUCAACAUGCAGCUCUGUAGCAGCACAGACCAUGUGACUGACAGCUUAGUAACAAAUAUCAGAUACAGAGAGUUCACCUGUUAGAGGUAAUGUUUGUAUGUUGGGUGUUUUUGUGUCAGCGAUCAGCAGGAGAGAGAUGAGUGCUGCUCUCCCUGCAACAGGGACCAGCUGAGGGCAGGAACUCUGCCAAGUGCACCCUGUCUCAUUUGCAUGCAUGGAUGGCAUAGCAUUAGCAUAGUAAUAGGGGGGAAAAGCACAGAGAACUAACAGGAGAUAUUUGGCAGCUGAUACUCAGGGCCCAAUUACAAGCGUUCGCCUGCAUUCUCCUUUACUCAGGGGCUUUUCUCAUCUCACAGCCCUCUGCUCUGUUCUGCUAGGCACAGUGGGCCUAUCUUCAAACUGUCAGCCUGUUUAGAGCUGGAGAUAGCUGUGUGUGUGUGUGUGUGUGUGUGUGUGUGUGUGUGUGUGUGUGUGUGUGUGUGUGUGUGUGUGUGUGUGUGUGUGUGUGUGCGCGUGUGUGUGUGUGUGUGUGUGUGUGUGUGAGAGAGAGAGAGAGAGAGAGAGAGAGAGAGAGAGAGAGAGAGAGAGAGAGAAAGGAAACAGACCAGCUCUGCACUAAUGAGGACAGGGAUGCAGACAGCUAGAAUCCUCUCCAUUGCCUCACCUCUGCUGCUCCUCGCUCAGGAUGGAGGAAUGUAAAUAAGAUGUUCAUUUUUAGACAACAUGAGCAGGUUGGAGACAUGGAGGGUGUCGCAGAGAGGAGGCUAACCACAGUUAAACUUGUUGAGAAACUAACCCAGUGGUUCCAACCUUCUUUUUUUGCAGGGACAAGAGCCCUCCUACAUUAAAAGCCCCCAGGCUAACCCACACCCCCAGAACAUUAGUAGAAACAGACAAUCCUAGAAGAAAAAUGGCCACUGGAGCUGGGUUUUCAACAAGGGGUCCAGUUCAUUAAGGAGAAUUAUUAGCAUUACUAGGAAGUGAUUGGUAACUGUGCCAAAAUAACCUCAGAACCAUCCCACUUUAUGACACCCUUCUGUUGGGCGACCAUGAGUACCAGUUUGACCUUCAAGGGUUUCAGACACACUAAUGAUUAUAAGGGGGUGGGGGGUGGGUGGAUCAUACGGUUUUAUAUCUUACAUAAUUUAAUGUUAUUUGAUUGGUAAAAUAAUUUCACUCAAUGAAUUAUUACUCCAGUUUAUGUUUGCUUUUCUGCUUAUCAAGGGAUCCUCAUUGGUGUUACACAGGUUUUUAUCAGGAAACCAUCUGGUUCAAAAUAACGCUUUGUUUCCACCAGCAGAGCAAAGAGGAGGGUGAAUGUAAAGGGAGCUGGAAAUGUGAUGAGGGCAAAAUAGAACCUGCUUUUCUGUAAAAUUACCUCUGCUUGGUCCUUUACAGGAGACUAUGCAAGGAGAGUAUUAGAUAACAAUUAUAAUAACAAGAAUAAUAAUAACUUUUUUCCAACCAAAUUUCACCAAAGGCUUUAAUAAAAAAAAGCUCAAGUUACUUCAGCCCUGUACAUGACUUUAAAAUAAAAACCUUUUUUUUUUUUUUUUUUUAAUCAUCGCUGAAACAGAGUCAAUAAAAUGAUCAAUGUAUGAUCAUAGUUGGAGAACAAAAAAUCUGUUUAAUUUCUCUUUUCUAUCUUUAAUGGUUGCUUUUUAUUUCAUAUUUCCAUGUGCAUGAUAUGCUGUCUUCUCUGAUUACCAAUAACCCAAACAGCUGAUCUGGUGCCAUGCACUGCAUGUGGAGGUAAACAUGGUAGUUACUUGAUUAAUACCUACAAUCCCUGUAGCACACCAUAAUGUAAUAAUGUACUGAAAAUGUACGAAAAUUUGCACUUAACUUGAUUGAAAGUGUAAUAAAACCCAAUAAUACAAUUUUCCCAAUAAUGUAAUACCUUAUUACAUUAUUGGGAAUUUAUUACAUUUUCAGGUGGGUCUUCUUUUAUUCAGAACUGAUAAUAUAAUUCUUGACAAAUAAUCUUAUAUUCAGUCCAGAGUUCUACAUUUUGUGUUUUGGGAAUCUGAUAUUGGCUGGUGUUAAGAUCAGCUGUUUUACAGUGGGAAGAGCUUGACUUUGUGGCCUGUCUGAACUAACACUGUGCUCAAUUUAGUUAGUUCAAAAACUGAACUCCACCUCUGCAAAUAAUAAUAACGAUAAAAAUAAAUAAAUAAAACACACAGCUCAGGCUGAGUAACAGAACUCUGCUGAGCCAAGGGCAGGAUAUUGACCCUCUAAUUUUGAUAUAAGGCUCCAUAAAACUCCCACACAUCAGAAUAAAAACUCCCCUCCACCCUGGCCCCCUGGCACCUGGCUGAAAGACUCUUGGCUGAAUGAGGAUGUUGGAGACGGAGGUGCAGCUACAUGAGGGGAACCCAGAGCGGCAGGGUGGUCUCUUUUAACAUCCAGGUCUGCUGUGGAGUAAGUCAGACUCCAGUCACAUGCAGCAUCUGCUGCAUCUUUGUCUGAACAACAAGAACAGCCCCUGCAGCCCCAGAGAGGAGAGAGAUGAUUGAGUCACUUGGGAUCUCAGUAGAGAACAGAGAGAGAUGCUCCCACAGGGCUGCAGGUCAAUAUCAAAACAGACAACUGCUCCUAUUUACACACCAUCACCCCAAGGCAACAGCAAACUGACCUAGAAAGAGAGAGCUAGAACAAAAGACUGGAAAAAAAAAUAAACUGAGUGGGAUUCAGACUUACGGCUUGGUUUUAAUGAAACUGGGAGUGAGGCGAGCGCUAACUCACAGCACAAUUAAUGUUCACCUCUUUAAUGGCCAGAGGCUCAAAAUGCCUCUGUAGUAGAGGAAUUGCUCACUCACUGCCCCUUGUUUGAAUAUAUUUGAUCAAGAAUGCAAGUUACUUUAGCAUCAUAUUAGCUGUGCAGGAUUGUAGUACAUAUAGAAAGAGAUUUUUUAAUGUGUAAAGUGUCUCAAUUAUCUUGAGUGAUUUGCUGUGGUUUAAAUCCUUCGAAAAUAGAUCAAUUUCAAAAGAUGAUAGUUUGGCUCUUAGGAUUCUGUCUGUCCUGUGUGUGUGCACAUCAGUUAGUCACUUUACCAUCUUCAUUUUACUCUCCUACUCUAGUAUGAAAUACAGUACCAGGAGAAAAUUAGAACCAGGGCUAAAAGAAACAAUGAGGAAGUUUGAGCAAAAGCUAGAUAGCCAAGAAUAAAGUUGGGAUUUUACAUAAAAGGCAAAAUUAAACUAGGAAAAAACAAAUUCUUUGUCAAGACGAUUUUUCUAGCUCUUUUAUUUUAUUAUUUAUUCUGAGUCUGGUUUUAGUCAAUAAAAGUCAUUACAUCAAAGGGAAAAGGGCCAGUGGUGCUGGACGGCUCCUCUCUUAGCUGCAGGACAAAAAGAUUCAUAGGUUCUUUUGUACCCACAGCCAUCAGACUGUUUAAUUCUUCUGUCAAUAGUAGAUGACAUGAGACCACAGACAAUUGAAUGUCCCUACGGGGAUCAAUUAAGUUCUUUUUCUUCUCCUUCUCUCUCUCUGUAUUUCCGUCUAUCCCCUCUCUUCCCCAACCCAGUGGCCGCAGGUAGCUGUCCAACAUAACUCCAGUUCUGCUUAAGGUUUCCACCUGUUAAAGGGAAGUUGUUCCUUGCCACUGUAACUUGCUAAAUACAGCAAAGUGCCUUACUUGUGUUGGUUUAAGAUGAGUCAAGGAUGGGUCUUAUUUUAUAGAUGGGACUCAAUCUUUUCCCAUCUUGAGGUUGGCUCUCUGUAAUACAUCGAAACAAUGAGUGAGGUCUCGACCUGCUCUCUUGGAAAGAGUCUUGAGACAAAGAUUGGUGUGAUUUGUGAAUUUUUAUGUAUAAAAAUUGAUUGAUUGAUUGAUUGAUUGAUUGAAUUAAUUAAAAAUGCUUCAGAACUGACAAAUGAAUCCUCAAACUUAAGCCAUGCUUCAGGAAAUGUUUCAUACAGCUUCACAGUUUGGUAAAAAAAAAAAAAAAAGCCUGACAUCUAUUGCUUCUAACCUCCUUUCUUCUUCCCUUCCAUUCCCAACAGGGAAUGGAAGCAUUAGUCCAGGUAUCUGACUCUUUGGAGCAUUUAUAACAGGGGUAAGCUUGUUCAAAUUGCACGAGCUGGGUCUUAAGUUUGGUUUUAACUGAAAAUUAUUGUUAUUUUGUACAUAGGUGAAAUUUAAUUUAAUUUAAAUUGUUCAUUUAGUAUCCAAAAAAAGUGAGGCAAAGGGCAAGAUUAAAAAAGCAAGCACCGUUUGAACGUGACCAGACCUGAUUAUGACUAUGAAGGAAUGCUGUAACGAAGACUUUGGGCUCUAUUUUUGUGCGCGCCGGUGAGGCGACGGAGGGUGGUGGACCCCACGCAGUUGUAUUUUCGUCUGGCGGAGCCCGGCGUAAAGCCAGUUUGGUAUUUUUGUGGACUGAGGCGCUCGGAGGCGAGCCGAGAUCCGCCAAGCUGGGCGUGGUGGCGUGGCAGGGGGAGGUGUCAACAGAAUCAGCGGGCGCAGUGACAUUUUCGUGCUUGCCAGUAACGUGUAAAGUGCGCUGAAAGCUCGCCGAUUCAAACCUGGUCAGCUUUCAGCGCAUGGCGGAGCGCAGCUAGUCUAGUAGUAUUUUCGUAGACCGGCGGCGUAUCGGCAUACGUCACUGAUGCCUCAUCGGCAGGUUUCCACAGUGUCAGGCACAUUUCAGUGCAAUAAAUAAUCAUCAACAACUAAUAAUCUGAGUCAGCACAUACAUUUAGAUCUAUAUAGAUAUAUUCUGAUCUAUAUCUGAUCUGAUGAGCGCGUUUGGCACGCGUUUGGACACACAACGUGAACGAAUCAACACAGCUGAAACCGCAUCAAAUUAAAUUAAAUAUCUAGUAAAUAAACACACAUGAUGAAGUUAACAAGAUAUGUAAUUCGUCUCCCUCCUUUUCUUUCUUCCUCUUCCUCUUAUUUCUCGCACAGCUCGACCUGGACAUGUCUCUGUGUCCUCUUCUCGUCCUGCUGCUGCGGCUGAACAGAUGAUUUGUUUCAGUGAUCAGAUGCGUUAUCUACUUUAAGCCGACAUACGGAUAUUAUAAUAUUCAGUUUUGUGAGUCAAAUUUAUUUUAUAUGCCAACAUCUAUGAAAGAAAGAGCCAGGCCACGGAGCGCGAUGCGUCAUUUACGCACAGAUGGUUCCGAUUUUAAUGCCAUUUUUGGAGUUUAUGUUUAUGCGCUCAACCCACCUUUGUCACGUGAGGUUUGAAUAUGUGCAACUUUAUGUGAGUGUCUUUUUUUGUGGAAAAGGGUGUUUGUCUUACUAGUGGGUCCAACAUUACACACACCAAAUCCAUCUGUGCUCAGAUGAGAGAGUGUGGAGGACGCCCAGUGCAGCGCUUACAGUGACACUUGUUGAGGAGCUGCCCUUUGUCGCCAUCUUGUGGCAUUACUGUCUUCAGACAUCUCUUGAUCUCUUUGACUACUUCAUGAAAAUUGUAAUACGCCUCGCCUGUGGCGGAUUUAAAGGCGAGGAGAGGAGCUGAUGUGAUUGGUGAAAACAGGUCUCGGCUGUGUUAAACCCACUCCACGCCCUUUCUCCUCCCUCGCUACGACUUAUGCUGCUGGGAGGAGCUGAGUUAGGAAGGGGGGGAUACUUACGCCGGGCUGCGCGGCUCACCAAAAUACCAAAAUGUGCUUGGACAUGCCUUGUCAGCGCGGCGGAUCUGACUUAUGCCGCGCUUGCGGCACGUCUCCGGCAAGGCACGAAAAUAGAACCCAUUGAGAUACAACUAACUGGCGACGAGACAGUUAGGGCCAUGAAGUUAAAUACAAGAGGGAAUGAGGGUGAUGGGAAACAGGUGGGGACAGACAAUCAGGAGGCAGGUGUGACAAGGCAGGGGCGGGGCAGAGACAAGGGUUAGUGACUUUAAAAUGAAACAUGAACAAGAUAUGGAAUAUGAAUGUGCAAAAAUAAGGGAAACUUGACGGACAUAAGACUUCAGUAUACAUAUGCUGUUAAAAACAAACUUCCUCUAUGAAUUCAUGAAUUUUCUGCUUUCAUUAAACAAAUGAACUAAACACUGGACCAGGAGCAGGAACAUUUUCUAAGAAGAGUAGAUGACUGCAGCAAAAAGUAAAGCAAAAGUUACUCUUGAAUGACUUUUCUGAUGGAGUUACUCAAUAAUUUAGUUACAUUUGAAAGGAGGAUGGAGUCACAGAAAGUUUAGUCUCUGACAAAAAUGUUGUUUGAGGAGAGGUCUGUGCAGGUAGAGGGUUUAAUGGUUUGGACCUUAUCAGGUGAGCAUUAAAAUCAAACAGAUUUAAACCAUUUAAAAAACUUAAGAUACUUUCAAGAGAAUGAUUCAAAACAAAAAAAUUAAGGUUUAUCUAGAAAAUGUUCAUUCAACCCUAGCAAAUGCAUGCGAGUACCUUUACUUCAUGCAAUAAUAUCUGUUGUGUAUAAAAUGUUUAUUUUUGAUUCAGUGAUGGAGAAAACCUCACCAGCUGCUGGUUUAUGGUUUGGUUUGUUGCCAACUCUGUGAGUGAACAUAUUUGAAAUAAACAUUAAUUCUAGUUCAGAGCCAUGGAAAGUCAUAAAAAAGGUGAAUACAUCCGUCACUCCGUGCCUCAGCUAUCACUGCCACUAAGGCAAACAGUGUGAGUUAUUGUCUUUUGUUGGGAAAUGUCUCCUUUGGAUCAGUGAUUUUUGAUUCAUGAUGCAACAUCUUGGCAACCUGACACAAAGCACAGUAUGCAGGGAAUCACUGGUCCUGAUAUUCAUCUACAAAGAGUGUAAAAAUGUCAAAGUAGGUGAUAAGCUAUAAAACAAAUGGCCCAAGUAAUUCACUCAUUAUUCCCAAGAAUAAUGAGUACAUUUCCCAAUUUGAUGUGAUGUAUACCAAAUACAGUAUAUGAAAGGCUGAUUGGGGAAGUGGUUGAUGUUUUUCUUCACUCCUCCUUCAGUCUGUCCAGGAAACAAACAUCAAAACAGCAUAAACAGUACAGUGUUUGGCCAUCCAGUGCAGUUUGAAGAUUGCAGUCGGAUCAGGAGCAGAAAAUACAUCAUCUUCUGCUGGGCUUCAUCCUCUGACUGUCACACAUGAUCACAAUUAGCCCAGAGACAAAGGUCCGGCUGUGGUUGGCCUGUGGAGAGGGAAAUCAUGAGUUUAUAAUCUUUAAGGGAUUAAAGCUGCAUUCUGGGGGGGGUUAAAGACACAGACAGAAAGAGGUGGAGAAGGUGGGCAAGGAGAUCAGUGUACCAGUAACACCCAGUAACACCCAGCAGUCUAAACCUGUAGCAGCAAAACCAAGGACUGAUCCAGACCUGCAGCAGGUCUGGCUAUAAGCUUUAUCAAAGAGGAACAUAUUAAGUCUACUCCAAAAAUCAGAAAGGGUGUUUGACCCCUGGACCUGGACUGGUAGAUGAUUCCAGAAAAGGUUGUAGUUUGGUACAGUAAGCUUCGAUCUUGAAGGUGCUUUCAGUUCAGAGAAAGCUUGAUUUUGAUUUUGGGGUGCAAGUUAACAUAUCAGACUGUGCAGACUGUGGGCAUGGUCAGUGUAUGUUGUCCAAAAACAGAAGUAAAACAAAAAGUAGAGUGCUGUGUUCACUCUGUGUUAGCUUUAAAUUAAAUAUACCAUGGUUUUACUCUAUAAAUGCUUGUCCAAGCUAAGGCUCAAUCCAUACUUCGGUGUAAAAAAAGUCUUAUUUCACAUUGAUUUUAUUUAUUUAUUUAUUUUUUAUCUUUUUAAAUCUAUUGAAUUUCAUUUGGUGAUAUGAAACAAUACAAGAUAAGUGAGGAAGCAUGCAACAGCGACAAAAUGUUGUUAGGGUAAGAUGACAUAUAAUCAAAUAAAUAGGUAGGCACUUUGUGGGAUUUUCAAUUUUGACAAUUUGAAUUUUUAAUUCAUGUUCUUGUGUGUGUGUGUGUGUGUGUAUGUGUGUGUGUGUGUGUUGUGUGAGAUCAACAAAAUGAGUAUAGAAAUGACCAAAUAGGUGAAUAAAACUAAUAAAAGGGAAACAAAAUAAGAAUAAGAAUAACUUUACUGCUAAUAACUUUGUAAAUAAACUUUGUAAAUUGUAAAUAAUAGAUAACUGUUAGAGUUAUCACAAGAGUUAUAAAGUCUGAUGGCUGUUGGUACAAGAGAUCUCCUGAAUCUCUCUGUCCUGCAGCGAAGAGAGAGGAGCCGUCCACCACCAUUGGCCCUUUCUCCAUCUCCGUCUUCAUCUUUGUGUUUGAUGCUUCCUCCCCAGCAGACUGCAGCGUAGAACAGAACACUGUAGACACCACAGACUGAUAAAACAUCUGCAGCAUCUUACUACAGAUGUCUAUUGAUCAGAGUUUUCUCAGGCAAAAGAGGGGGCUCUGCCCCUUUCUGUACAUGAAGUCCAUAUUCUUAGACCAAUCCAACUUAUUAUCCAGAUGUACACCUAGGUAUUUCUAUGAUGUCACCACUUCGAUGUCCACUCCACAGGUGUUCACUGGCUGAAGAGGGGGUUUGGAUCUAUGGAAGUCUAUGACCAUCUCCUUUGUCUUUGAGGUGUUGAGGAGGACGCAGUUUUUGUGAUUCCAGUCACUGAAGGCUCUUAUUAGAUCUCUGUAUUCAGCUUCUUGUCCAUUUCUGAUACAUGCCACAAUAGCGGUGUCAUCUGAGUAUUUCUGGAUGUGGCAGGACUCAGUACUGUAUUUGAAGUCUGACGUAUACAGUGUGAACAGGAAUGGCACCAGCACUGUCCCUUGUGGAGUCCCUGUACUGCUCAUUAAUGUCCCAGAAACAUAGUUCAGCAGCCUGACAAACUGUGGCCUUCCUGUCAGGUAAUCUGUGAUCCAGAAAACACAGGAAGGAUCCACUCCCAUCUCUGUGAGCUUGUCUUUGAGUAUGGUGGGUCGGAUGGUGUUGAAUGCACUUUAAAAGUUGAAGAACAUGAUCCUCACAUAAACCCCAGGUUCCUCCAGAUGAGACAGGGCACGGUGAAGCAUGUAGAGGACAGUAUCAUCCACUCCAAUGUGUUCUUUGUAUGCAAACUGCAGGAGUUCAGUUUGUCUUUGACCUCAGACCUCAGAAGGCGUAGAAUCAGUCACUCCAGGGUUUUCAUGAUGUGUGAAGUGAGGGCCACUGGUCUGUAGUCAUUGAGUUCAGCAGGACAUUUUGUUUUUGGUAUUGUCACAAUGCAGGAUGUUUUCCACAGAGCAGGUACCCGCCCCAGCUGUAGACUCAGGUUGAAGAUCUUGUGGAGAGGUUGAUUCAGUUCUUGGUUGAUACCGCGUCGGUGAGUUAGUUUGCUUGCUACUUUUAUUUUCAGGGUAUUUCUGGGACAGUUGUUUUGUACAAGACGCAACAUGCAAAGUAGCCAGAAAGGAGUUGGAAAGAACAAUGUUUGCAGCAUGUAUUGGAUCAGGUUACAGUAAGAUUUCUACUGUGCUAUCUCUCCCUCCCUUUGCUUUAAUCUCUGUACCCCUCUGGCUGCUCAGCUGGCGUCUCUUGGUGAAUAAAGAACCAACGGACCAACCCCCGACUUCCCAAAGCAUCCCCUAAUAUAAACAGAAACGCACCAACAACAGAGAUGGGAUGCAUUAAGGGAGUUAAAUCAUUUUAAAAGUAUAGUUCUGCACAUAGGUCCACUUGGUACCCCCUACAGUAUCGGAUUGGUUAUUUGGGUAUCUUAACAUUUGACAAUAGUAGCAUACCACACUGUCCCGGACCGCUGUGCUAACCCCUACUAGUAAAAAGCACCCAUUUUUCACUUAUACAAACCUACUAUCUCCAAAACUAAUGAAUUAUAAAGGUAUAUUUAACUUCAGACCAGAAUGACCUUCACGAAGCAGUUUACAUCUUUAUUUUAAUUUAAAAUUGAGUUAUUAAGAACAGGAAAGCAUGUGGGUUUUGCAGUUGGCCUUACUGUAAUUGAACACCUAAAGAACUGCAACCUCUGGCACCCUUACAUGACCAGAGUUAGCACACCACCUUUUUUAAAGCCUCGAGUUUGGCAUUGCAACCAUCAACCUUUAUCAAAUUGUAGAACCAGGUUAACUGGUAGUGGCUGGAUGAAAUGACUGGAUGUUACCUUUUGCAAACAUGCAAAAGAGUUCUGAUGCACCACGACAUUGUUGAAAAGAUCGUGUUUCUGGUUUAAAAGUUUAGAGGUUUUCAAAAAUGAGUCGAAACCACCAAGAACACCAAGUAUAGAGCAGCAAGCGUUUUGUGUCAGGACUUGUGUGAACAGUAAAGUACAUGUAGGAAGAAUGAUCACUGUGUCAGUCAAGUUGUGCACGUGAAACUUGUACUUCAGUGGGUGUGGAUAAUAUCAGAUUACCAUUCACAAAGGGGUUGACUGAAAUGCAUUUUGCUUAUAUUAGUGACAUGGAGUGGCUAUUUGUUGUGGAGUCAAAGCAGAUGGGACAAACUAGACCUUGUUUUCAGAGACCUCUCCACAAACUGAGGCUGGUUUGUGUUACAACCCUGCAGGUCCAGAGUUACACAAAACCAGAGCUGAGAGUGUCCUUCUUUUUCUUCUUUUUUUGCAGAAAGGAAACACACCCUGAGGGAUACAGUCAGCUGGGAUUACUGUGCAGGAAAGUCAGCAUAUCCUUUUCCCAUGUCCUUGUCUUUCAUUUCUUCUUACAAAUGAAAGCUGCUUCUGCUCAGUGUUCUGAGGCUAUAACUCGUAUCUAUUUCAACCCAACAGGUGAAGACUAAAAUUUCAUGAAAAAAAACUUUAAUUCUCCAAUUUCUCAAAUGCACACUGUAAUAAACAUUGAAAUAAAACAACAUCAAAUCCAUAUAAAGCUUCAUUUGAUUCUGUCAAGGCCAUAUAGCUGAAUUAUUGUUUCUUUAACUUCCACAAAAAUAAUUCCAAGAGAAGAAAUGGGAGUCUUAAAAUUCUGAUUCAUCAUGCAACAAUGAUGGGAGAGUGAUUAUAAUUCUUUUAUUAGGCACAUAGGUUGUAAUCCACAAAGAGCAAACACCAGGAAGUGCGCAUCAUUUCCUCGCUAUCUGCCCUGUCUCAAGGUUUAAUUCAUUUCUGCACUUAAAUAUCAUCGCUGCUUAUUUUUUGAUGAAGUUUUGCCGCCCUGUGCAGUUAUCUCUAUGUUUGAGCUUCAUUGUGAAUGAGAGAACAUCUCCAUGCACUGCUAUCCAGAGCCAUGUUGUGUGCGCUCAGCCUAUUGAUGUUAAAUCAUAUCCACAUACAGCUGAUGUUGAACUUUAUGGAGUGGGAAAGUCCUCAGCCGUGUACCACAAAAUCAGUUUGUGAGAAAUGUUACACUAGCUUCACGGUUUAUAUAGUCCUUACUUCCUUGGGCAAGUGAGCAAAAAUCAGCCUGUUCAUAAAAAAAAAAAAAAAAAACAGCAACAUACCUCAGUGUGUAGAUGUCACUGUUCUUACAUGCAUGUAGUCAUUGAAUGAUUUAGCCGUGACUGCUAUAAAAACAGUUGUGUCAAAGUCAUACUAUGACAGAGUAUUAAGACUGCAUUGAGAAUUUUUUCUUUACAGACUUCGAGAAUCAAUCAUAAUUUUAAGAGGAUAAAGUCAUAAAUUUAUGAGAAAAAAGCCACAAUAUCAUAAAAAGUUAGAAUUUUACAAGAAAUAAGUCAUGAAUUUAUGAGAAUGAAGUCAUAAUUUUGUAGUUGAAAAGAUAAGAACAAUUUAAAGCAAAAACAAGGUCUGUAGGUUGAAGUAUGCAGAUAUUGUGAGCCCAAAAAAGUGGAUGAGAAGCAAAAAGGCAAAAAUUCCCCAAUGGUAUGGUGUUUCCGUUGUAAAAAUGUAUGCAAAAAAAUAGUUAAAAAAUUUGCAAAAGGUAUUAUUUGUAGAAAUGUGAAAAAAAUACAAGCAAAUGUGUCCUGUAGGAGUGGAAAG